This 613-nucleotide long non-coding RNA is filed under the name Vulpes vulpes (red fox). RNAcentral's name for it is "lncRNA (ENSVVUG00000020604.1)". The record is from RNAcentral. Lineage: Eukaryota; Metazoa; Chordata; Mammalia; Carnivora; Canidae.
ACAAAUUCAAAAGACCUGACAGUAUUUACACAUUAUUUAAUGUUCCAUUUAACAUUUUAAAAUUUAAAAUCUUCUCUUUCAGAAAUCCAACCGCAACAAGGUAUAGCAUCAUCAUAUAUAAGAAGAAUCUGGUAGUACUCAUGGGGAGGGAUGUACUGACUGCUUGCGGCUCAGAUGUCCCUGGACUGACUCAGUGGACUCCCCCUAUUUACAACAAAUGCCCUGUUACCUGCAGUGAACAGUCAAGGCCCAGAUGCCAAAUCUCCUGCUGAUCUCUCCACAACUUGACUCAUCACUAUCACAUUUAAGACAGACUACUUUGAGAUCAUCUACCAUCCUCACCACUUUAUAGAAAGAAAGCCCAGAGAAGUCAGAGUUCAAGGUGAUAUGUAGUGAAAUUAAGAAGGGUCAAUGCAGUUGCCUUCUUACUAGUUCUUGUCCCAGGCAGAUACUAUGUUCUUAUUCAUUUUUAUGUUCCUUCAUUAUGUCUACCAUGAUGUAGUAAGUACUAAAUAAUUGUUUAUUAAAUCAAUGAAUUGAAAGAAAAUAAGCUCUUUUGUUUUUUAGUGGUAAGAUGUAUUAGUAGAUGUCUCUAGUGAUUGCAGUAUUGAAA